Molecule: ribosomal RNA, 253 nt
Filed under: uncultured bacterium
Lineage: Bacteria
Description: partial 16S ribosomal RNA
Rfam family: Bacterial small subunit ribosomal RNA
Source: RNAcentral
UACGAGAGGCCCAAACGUUAUUCGGAAUUACUGGGCUUAAAGAGUUCGUAGGCGGCAUGAAAAGCAGGGUGUGAAAGCCCUCGGCUCAACCGAGGAAUUGCGCUCUGAACUGUCGUGCUUGAGGAACCUAGAGGUGAGCAGAACAGAUGGUGGAGCGGUGAAAUGCGUUGAUAUCAGGAGGAACACCGAUGGCGAAGGCAGGUCUCUGGGCCACUACUGACGCUGAGAAGCGAAAGCAUGGGGAGCGAACAGG